CAACUUCUCAUUUACUUCAGUGACGAUUUCUUAUCUGGAGAACAUUCUCACUCUAAUAACAAUAUACUUGCCAUAUACAUUUCUACAGCAAGCUUUGAAUUCUUUGGUCCAGCAUGAAGGAAGACAAUCUUAAUGAGUUAAGAGGCUCUUAAAGCAGACCACAGGAAUUUCAAGAGUGAAGCUGAAUGAAACCAUGGAAAUUAAUCAGGGCUCCCAAGGAGCUGGGAGGAGACAGAAUCAGGAGAGCUCAUACAAACUGGCCGAAGGGAUAUUCCAUACCAUAUGACAUCAUGAGGAAGAAAAGUUUGGAAAGGGGUGGGAGUUCAGCUCUCACUCUUACUUCCGUUGCCUGGGAGCUAACUGGAUAUUGGUCAGUGUCUGGGUAGCAAUUGCUUGUGCAUCACUUGUUAUACAUGUUUGUGUAUAUAUAUACUUGUUUGUCAUAGCUAUUAUCUUGUUCCUUUUCUCUAUCUUAGUAAAUGGUUUUAUCUCAAUCCAUAAGUUCUAUCUACUUUGUUUUUUAUUUUUCAAUUAUCUCCCCCAUCCCACUGGGAAAGGGAGAGUGAGCAAACAGCUGUGUGGUGCUGAGCCACCUGCCAGGUUAAACCUCAACACUGCUUCGGGAGAGGAACUGAAUUCAAACUUGCCUACUAUACUUAGAUCACUCCGAAAGUAAUGCCUCCUCUUUAUUCCCAUGGAAACUACAACUACAAAGAACACAAUAACACUACUUGUUAGAGCAAAUUCUCAGCUACAAAACACUACCGUUCAACACAGUCA
This 780-nucleotide long non-coding RNA is filed under the name Gallus gallus (chicken). The record is from RNAcentral. Lineage: Eukaryota; Metazoa; Chordata; Aves; Galliformes; Phasianidae.